Myotis lucifugus (little brown bat) is the source of this 158-nucleotide non-coding RNA. The record is from Rfam. Lineage: Eukaryota; Metazoa; Chordata; Mammalia; Chiroptera; Vespertilionidae.
AGCUUUGCACAGUGGCAGUAUCGAAGCCAAUGAGGUUUAUCCGAGGCGUGACUGUUGCUAAUUGAAAACUUUUCCCAAUACCCCGCCAUGAUGACUUGAAAAAAUAAAAUAAGAUAAAUAUAAAACAAUUAUCUCUGGACUGUGGAUCAAUCAAAUGA